Molecule: long non-coding RNA, 2177 nt
Filed under: Nicotiana tabacum (common tobacco)
Lineage: Eukaryota; Viridiplantae; Streptophyta; Magnoliopsida; Solanales; Solanaceae
Description: long non-coding RNA (NTAB_LNC017374)
Source: RNAcentral
ACCGUGCACACAAAUUUUAAGCAACUUAGAAAUAAAAUAUAUAGUGAGACAUCUUUAUAACAACAUCCAUAUAUAAUAGUUAUUCAAUAUAAAAGCCAAGUUUUCUCGCAACCAAUCUUUUAUGUUAUGUUAUAAUAUAUGUUCUUUAUAAGAACAUUUCAAUAACAUCCAAAAAAAUAUCAAAACAAACGCAUAUGUUUGACUGUACAAUCAAAAUAGUUUCCCCAUAAAAAUCAGAUCCCAAGAAACUUCCCGAAAGUAAAAUGAGUACCCAAAUUUCCUGCAUCAAAACAGCAAAAAUUCUGGCAUGCAUGCAUGAAUAAGUUUUCAGGAAUAUAUGCAAUACCAAUAAUUCUGGUAUUGACUGCAUGCAGGCAAUACCAACAUGAAUAAUGCAUGUGCUUUCAGAAAGUAGGAAAAGAAAUAAGUUUUCAGUUAGAGCUGGACAGAGUUAUCCGAUACAUAUAAUGAUUGAAAGCAAUAUAUUCGAUGCAAUAGUUGAAAUGCACGCCAGUUGUUCUGGAUACCAUUUUUUUUAAUAAUUAUGAUAUUCCGGUUAGCUUGACUAUUUUCACAAAAUACAUGUUACCUCCCACCAGCAUAAAUAUUAGGGGCGGCUCAAUAGAUAUGGUGGCCUAAAGCUAAACCUUAAUAAGAGGUCUAAAAUAUAUAUAUUCAAUAAAAUUCUUUUAAAUAUUUAUGUGAAAUGAUAGUUUAAAAAAUAUUUCUAUCUUUUAUAUAUAAGGAACAAUAAAAAAAAAUAUGCAACUCAUAUUAUCAAUACCCUUGCUUUGAAGCCUCCAAUAAUUUAAGGAAGUCUGAUCUUUUAUGAAUCGAUCUGCAUAUAAAAUCAACUUCUCUUAGGCUUGAGCCGGGCAAUAGAUACUAGAUAACUUCGUUCACCAAUACUUGAACAGAUAAAAAAAAAUCACUUAACGUUUUUUCAUCUACUAAUAUUUAAGUGUGGGACCUUAUAAUUUUCAACUCACACAAUUAAUUCGUAUUUUGUGUGCGACACUAUAGUUAUUUUAAAAAAAGGAAGCAAGUGGCUAGUUUUAACUUUUGACUCCAUAUUUAUACUUGAUAUAUAUUGUACUUUUGUGUAUGGCAUCUUUCAUUUAAAAAGAAGCUCAAACAGUGCUAAGACAGCCAAAUCAAAAGAAGAUUAUGUUUGUUACUAGUUGUUUUCUUAUCUUUCACUGCUUUCUUCCAAUUAGUUCCAUUUAAAUAAUCAAAAGGAAGAUAUAGGUGUCUAAUCUUACCUUUCCAAUCCUGUCUUUUUGGCCAAAAGCAAAAUUACAUUUGCCUAUCAGACAAACAAAAUACUAACUUUUCUGACUAUAAAAUUGCAUGUUGAUCCCAUAUGUUUAACUUUAAACUAACAGUGUCAGUGAAAAAAGAAGAACUUGACCCUGUAAAGUAAAUGCAAACAUAAGUUAUUUACAUUUUCAAACAUCAAACUUAAGUAUUAGCAACCAAAGAAUGUGCUUAUCCACUACCAUAUAAGAAUCUUACAGCGAAAAGAAUGACAAAAAUUCUAACCAAGCAGUGUUUUAAUAAGAAUAAUUGAGCAUAUUAUUAAAGAAGUCAUGAGUGCAGAAUUAUCAAACUUAUAAAAAGGGUCAAAUUUACUCUUAUACUAUCUGAAAUAGAACUCUACCUUCUCGUACAUUUUGUUGUCUAAUAUUACCUCGCUCAAGUCUCAAUUUUUCCCUUGACUCCUAAUAACACUUCAAUUUAAGGAUCAUUUUAAACCAUAAUUAAUAUUUGAGCAGUAAAGUUGGAUCUUUUUUUUUUCGAAAAAAUCACAUAUAGUCCACUCAUUUCACAUUAGGCACUGUCACUGAUAAGGGUAAGUAUGAGAUAAUUUGGUAAUAACAAGGGUAUGAAUAAACCAAAAGUGUGAUAGAUUGACGGCAAUAUUAGCAAUUUCUAAACGUACAUGGCAAAUUUAAAACCUUUCCCUUAAACUUAAGAUGUCACAGCUGGCUAGCUGAUUGCCUAGGAGUCAGCUUCUGUAAUACCAGCUAAUUUAACACAUGAAUCUAUGUAUUUAAAUUGAUUGGAUGAAUGCUACAACUGCAAAAAAACAAUAUAAUUGGAAUAAAUUGUGUUGUACAUACUAUUGAUUAAUCGUUUUCAGUACUAAUCGGUGAUGACCUGGCACAGGAUAUAUA